GAUGAACGCUGGCGGCGUGCCUAAUACAUGCAAGUCAAGCGAACAGAUGAGGAGCUUGCUCCUCUGACGUUAGCGGCGGACGGGUGAGUAACACGUGGAUAACCUACCUAUAAGACUGGGAUAACUUCGGGAAACCGAAGCUAAUACCGGAUAAUAUAUUGAACCGCAUGGUUCAAUAGUGAAAGACGGUUUUGCUGUCACUUAUAGAUGGAUCCGCGCCGCAUUAGCUAGUUGGUAAGGUAACGGCUUACCAAGGCAACGAUGCGUAGCCGACCUGAGAGGGUGAUCGGCCACACUGGAACUGAGACACGGUCCAGACUCCUACGGGAGGCAGCAGUAGGGAAUCUUCCGCAAUGGGCGAAAGCCUGACGGAGCAACGCCGCGUGAGUGAUGAAGGUCUUCGGAUCGUAAAACUCUGUUAUUAGGGAAGAACAAAUGUGUAAGUAACUAUGCACGUCUUGACGGUACCUAAUCAGAAAGCCACGGCUAACUACGUG
Molecule: ribosomal RNA, 497 nt
Filed under: uncultured bacterium
Lineage: Bacteria
Description: partial 16S ribosomal RNA
Rfam family: Bacterial small subunit ribosomal RNA
Source: RNAcentral